AUUGAACGCUGGCGGCAGGCCUAACACAUGCAAGUCGAACGGUAACAGGAAGCAGCUUGCUGCUUUGCUGACGAGUGGCGGACGGGUGAGUAAUGUCUGGGAAACUGCCUGAUGGAGGGGGAUAACUACUGGAAACGGUAGCUAAUACCGCAUAACGUCGCAAGACCAAAGAGGGGGACCUUAGGGCCUCUUGCCAUCGGAUGUGCCCAGAUGGGAUUAGCUAGUAGGUGGGGUAACGGCUCACCUAGGCGACGAUCCCUAGCUGGUCUGAGAGGAUGACCAGCCACACUGGAACUGAGACACGGUCCAGACCCCUACGGGAGGCAGCAGUGGGGAAUAUUGCACAAUGGGCGCAAGCCUGAUGCAGCCAUGCCGCGUGUAUGAAGAAGGCCUUCGGGUUGUAAAGUACUUUCAGCGGGGAGGAAGGGAGUAAAGUUAAUACCUUUGCUCAUUGACGUUACCCGCAGAAGAAGCACCGGCUAACUCCGUG
RNAcentral lists this ribosomal RNA (490 nucleotides) under uncultured bacterium. RNAcentral's name for it is "partial 16S ribosomal RNA". It matches the Rfam family "Bacterial small subunit ribosomal RNA", at positions 30 to 507 of the family's 1533-position model. The record is from RNAcentral.